UCUUCAGGAUGAACACAAAAUCUUUUUAUUUCUAAUAUUUUUUAUAUUUGUUAUCUUUUGAUUGAUUCAUGUGUCGUGUAAUAUUCUUGUAGGUUGACAAGUUGUGGCAUCUCGAGCAUGCCUCAUAGGAGAGCAGAAUGAAGUCCACUGUACUGUUGGGAAUAGUAGCAGAUGUGCCAUUAUUCUAUUGUGCAAUUUUGUUCGUUUUUGCUAUAUUCCUGUGUAAGGAAAUGUAUUCAUGAGAUGAUUUAUUGUGUUAUGUAAACCUGGGAUAUGUAUUUUGUGAUGUUAUAUGAUGGAUGAUUUUAAUUCGAUUUGGAGUAUUUUUGAUUUGAAUAUGAAAA
This 344-nucleotide long non-coding RNA is filed under the name Hordeum vulgare. Its description in RNAcentral is "long non-coding RNA (HVUL_LNC004242)". The record is from RNAcentral. Lineage: Eukaryota; Viridiplantae; Streptophyta; Magnoliopsida; Poales; Poaceae.